This 72-nucleotide transfer RNA is filed under the name Camelus bactrianus (Bactrian camel). It matches the Rfam family "tRNA". Rfam says of the family: Transfer RNA (tRNA) molecules are approximately 80 nucleotides in length. RNAcentral also lists the same sequence under 1 other name. Lineage: Eukaryota; Metazoa; Chordata; Mammalia; Artiodactyla; Camelidae. The record is from Rfam by way of RNAcentral.
GUGGGAAUAGCUCAGUGGUAGAGCACAUGCUUAGCAUGCAGAAGGCCCUGGGUUCAAUCCCCAGUACCACCA